RNAcentral lists this non-coding RNA (153 nucleotides) under marine eukaryotic metagenome. RNAcentral describes it as "FMN riboswitch (RFN element)". It matches the Rfam family "FMN riboswitch aptamer (RFN element)". From Rfam's summary of the family: The RFN element is a highly conserved domain that is found frequently in the 5'-untranslated regions of prokaryotic mRNAs that encode for flavin mononucleotide (FMN) biosynthesis and transport proteins. This element is a metabolite-dependent riboswitch that directly binds FMN in the absence of proteins. The record is from RNAcentral.
AUUCUCAGGGCGGGGUGAAAUUCCCCACCGGCGGUGAUCUGGCAUUCAGGCCAGCAGCCCGCGAGCGCUUAAUUGUUAUGCUUUUACGCAAUUAAGGUCAGCAGAUCUGGUGAGACUCCAGAGCCGACGGUUAAAGUCCGGAUGGAAGAGAAU